Octodon degus (degu) is the source of this 110-nucleotide small nuclear RNA. The record is from Ensembl. Lineage: Eukaryota; Metazoa; Chordata; Mammalia; Rodentia; Octodontidae.
GUGCUCACUUAGGUGGCACAUAUACUAAAAAACUGGAAUGAUACAGAGAAAGUUAGCAUGGUCCCUGCGCAAGGUUGACAUGCAAAUUCAUACAGUUGUACUACUGACUG